GACGAACGCUGGCGGCGUGCCUAACACAUGCAAGUCGAACGGAAAGGCCCUGCGUUUGUGCGGUUCUCGAGUGGCGAAGGGGUGAGUAACACAUGAGUAACCUGCCCUUGUCUGAGGGAUAACAUCAGGAAACUGGGGCUCAUAUCGGAUAGGAGCUCCUGCUGCAUGGUGGGGGAUGGAAAGAUUCGGCGGUUGGGGAUGGAAUCGCGGCUUAUCCGUUAGUUGGUGGGGUAGGGGCUUACGAAGGCUUUGACGGAUAGCCCGCCUGGGAGGGUGACCAGCCACAUGAGGCCUGAGGUACGGCCCAGUCUCCUACGGGCGGCAGCAGUGGGAAGUAUUACACAGUGGGCGGGAGCGAGAUGCGGCAACGCCGCGUGCGGGAUGCCGGCCUUCGGGUGAUAAACCGAUUUCGCCUGUGACGAAGCGUGCGUGACGGUAAUGGGUCAAGAAGCACCGGCUAACUACGUG
RNAcentral lists this ribosomal RNA (468 nucleotides) under uncultured bacterium. RNAcentral's name for it is "partial 16S ribosomal RNA". It matches the Rfam family "Bacterial small subunit ribosomal RNA", at positions 28 to 507 of the family's 1533-position model. The record is from RNAcentral.